RNAcentral lists this transfer RNA (72 nucleotides) under Scolopsis vosmeri (whitecheek monocle bream). RNAcentral describes it as "tRNA-Asp". It matches the Rfam family "tRNA". From Rfam's summary of the family: Transfer RNA (tRNA) molecules are approximately 80 nucleotides in length. Their secondary structure includes four short double-helical elements and three loops (D, anti-codon, and T loops). Lineage: Eukaryota; Metazoa; Chordata; Actinopteri; Spariformes; Nemipteridae. The record is from RNAcentral.
AAGGUACUAGUUAAACAGCCAUAACAUUUCUUUGUCAGGGAAAAAUAGUAAGUUAAAAUCUUGCGUACUUUA